UUUGCCUACGGGAGGCAGCAGUAGGGAAUAUUGCUCAAUGGGGGAAACCCUGAAGCAGCGACGCCGCGUGGGUGAAGAAGCGCCUCGGCGCGUAAAGCCCUGUCAGCAGGGAAGAAAAUGACGGUACCUGAAGAAGAAGCCCCGGCUAACUACGUGCCAGCAGCCGCGGUAAUACGUAGGGGGCAAGCGUUAUCCGGAUUUACUGGGUGUAAAGGGGGCGCAGACGGCGAUGCAAGCCAGGAGUGAAAGCCCGGGACCCAACCCCGGGACUGCUCUUGGAACUGCGUGGCUGGAGGGCAGGAGGG
RNAcentral lists this ribosomal RNA (305 nucleotides) under uncultured bacterium. Its description in RNAcentral is "bacterial SSU rRNA". It matches the Rfam family "Bacterial small subunit ribosomal RNA", at positions 334 to 656 of the family's 1533-position model. The record is from RNAcentral.